AGCGAACGCUGGCGGCAGGCUUAACACAUGCAAGUCGAGCGGGCAUCCUUGUGGUGUCAGCGGCAGACGGGUGAGUAACGCGUGGGAACGUGCCCUUCGGUUCGGAAUAACUCAGGGAAACUUGAGCUAAUACCGGAUACGUGCGAGAGCAGAAAGGUUUAUCUGCCGAAGGAUCGGCCCGCGUCUGAUUAGCUAGUUGGUGAGGUUGUGGCUCACCAAGGCGACGAUCAGUAGCUGGUCUGAGAGGAUGAUCAGCCACACUGGGACUGAGACACGGCCCAGACUCCUACGGGAGGCAGCAGUGGGGAAUAUUGGACAAUGGGGGCAACCCUGAUCCAGCCAUGCCGCGUGAGUGAUGACGGCCUUAGGGUUGUAAAGCUCUUUUCUCCGGGACGAUAAUGACGGUACCGGAGGAAUAAGCCCCGGCUAACUUCGUG
Molecule: ribosomal RNA, 437 nt
Filed under: uncultured bacterium
Lineage: Bacteria
Description: partial 16S ribosomal RNA
Rfam family: Bacterial small subunit ribosomal RNA
Source: RNAcentral